This 902-nucleotide ribosomal RNA is filed under the name Aerococcus viridans. RNAcentral describes it as "bacterial SSU rRNA". It matches the Rfam family "Bacterial small subunit ribosomal RNA", at positions 97 to 984 of the family's 1533-position model. The record is from RNAcentral. Lineage: Bacteria; Bacillati; Bacillota; Bacilli; Lactobacillales; Aerococcaceae.
GGCGAACGGGUGAGUAACACGUAAGGAAUCUACCUAUAAGCGGGGGAUAACAUUCGGAAACGGGUGCUAAUACCGCAUAAUAUCUUCUUCCGCAUGGAAGAAGAUUGAAAGACGGCUCUGCUGUCACUUAUAGAUGACCUUGCGGUGCAUUAGUUAGUUGGGGGGGUAACGGCCUACCAAGACGAUGAUGCAUAGCCGACCUGAGAGGGUGAUCGGCCACAUUGGGACUGAGACACGGCCCAAACUCCUACGGGAGGCAGCAGUAGGGAAUCUUCCGCAAUGGGCGAAAGCCUGACGGAGCAAUGCCGCGUGAGUGAAGAAGGCCUUCGGGUCGUAAAACUCUGUUAUAAGAAAAGAACAAAUUGUAGAGUAACUGCUACAGUCUUGACGGUAUCUUAUCAGAAAGCCACGGCUAACUACGUGCCAGCAGCCGCGGUAAUACGUAGGUGGCAAGCGUUGUCCGGAUUUAUUGGGCGUAAAGGGAGCGCAGGUGGUUUCUUAAGUCUGAUGUGAAAGCCCACGGCUUAACCGUGGAGGGUCAUUGGAAACUGGGAAACUUGAGUACAGAAGAGGAAUGUGGAACUCCAUGUGUAGCGGUGGAAUGCGUAGAUAUAUGGAAGAACACCAGUGGCGAAGGCGACAUUCUGGUCUGUUACUGACACUGAGGCUCGAAAGCGUGGGGAGCAAACAGGAUUAGAUACCCUGGUAGUCCACGCCGUAAACGAUGAGUGCUAGGUGUUGGAGGGUUUCCGCCCUUCAGUGCCGCAGUUAACGCAUUAAGCACUCCGCCUGGGGGAGUACGACCGCAAGGUUGAAACUCAAAGGAUUGACGGGGGACCCGCACAAGCGGUGGAGCAUGUGGUUUAAUUCGAAGCAACGCGAAGAACCUUACCAAGUCUUGA